CGAGGCGGUCGAGCGAGCGGACCGAGCGGUGCAUGCGCUCGGCGAGGUCGGCGACGCGCAGCAGCGUCGGAUCCCCUUCGACCGUCUCGA
RNAcentral lists this transfer RNA (90 nucleotides) under Microbacterium barkeri. Its description in RNAcentral is "tRNA-Cys". Lineage: Bacteria; Bacillati; Actinomycetota; Actinomycetes; Micrococcales; Microbacteriaceae. The record is from RNAcentral.